AUGCCAUUGCCAACCGCGGUCGUAGCCGGCGUUGCCGCCUCCGUCGCCGCGCUGGUGCUGCUGGCGGUCGCCGCCGCGCUCUGCUGGUGGCGGCUCGGGGCGCGCCGUAGCCGGACCUCCGACACCGCCUCCGACGAAACUCCCCCCACGCUAGCGGAGUGGGGCAGGUGCGGCCGGACGUCGUCGGCGCCGGACUACCACGGCGCCAGGCGGUUCACGCUGGAGGAGAUGUCCCACGCCACCAAGAACUUCAGCGACGCCAACCUCGUGGGCGCCGGCACCUUCGGCAAGGUCUACAUGGGCCUCCUGCUCGACGGCACCGUCGUCGCCAUCAAGCGCCGCGUCGGCGCGCCGCGCCAGGACUUCGUCGACGAGGUGAGGCGGCAGUCGGAGAUCUGGCACCGGAACGUGGUGACCCUCAUCGGCUACUGCCAGGACGGGGGUCUGCAGAUGCUCGUCUUCGAGCACCUGCCCAACGGCAGCGUCUGCGGCCAUCUAUACGAUACCGGCAAGGAGUCGAUGACAAGGCUGGAGUUCAAGCAGAGGCUCUCGAUCGCCAUCGGAGCGGCCAAAGGCCUGGACCAUCUGCACAGCCUCGCGCCUCCGUUGAUCCACAAGGGCUUCAAGACGAGCAACGUGCUGGUGGACGAGAACUUCAUCGCCAAGGUGUCCGACGCCGGAGUCGACCGGCUGCUCAGAGGGCUCGAGGACCCCGGCUCGCCGCUCAACGGAUUCCGUUCCGGCAUCUACCAGGAUCCAGAGGCACAUUCCUUGGCACAGCUCUCUGCGAGCAGCGACGUGUACAGCUUUGGGGUUUUCCUUCUGGAGCUCAUCACCGGCAGGGAGGCCGCCACCUUGGUUUCUCCGGAAUCAACCGAAUCUCUCGCUCAUUGGUUGGAGACGUCGGGAGACGAGGUGGCGGACCCGAGGCUCGGCGGCAGCUUCACCUCGGAGGGCAUGAAGGAGCUGGUUGGCCUGACGAUGCAGUGCCUGAGCCCGUCGGCGGUGAGGAGGCGGCCCAAGAUGCGGCUGGUCGCGGCGGAGCUCGACCGCAUCCUGGAGAAGGAGAUGACCCUGACGACGGUCAUGGGGGAUGGCACGGCCAUCAUCACCCUUGGGAGCCAGCUCUUCACGUCAUGA
This 1140-nucleotide ribosomal RNA is filed under the name Triticum aestivum (bread wheat). Its description in RNAcentral is "partial small subunit ribosomal RNA". Lineage: Eukaryota; Viridiplantae; Streptophyta; Magnoliopsida; Poales; Poaceae. The record is from RNAcentral.